GACCCAGGACUUGCGGAGGCUGGAGGAGGACAGGGCCAACCACCCUCCCAGGGCCUGGGAGGAAGAGGGGCCUUCUGGGGCCACCCAGGCCAUUGGGAUGAAGGCCUCCACCAGCCACAGUCGGACCAGUCCCCUGGGCUUUGCUGUUUCCCAGCAGCCUGCAGAGGCCCCACAGAAAGCCUGAGGCCCCUCCUUCCGCUGCCUGGCCAAGUCCCCGCCUCCCCAGAGCCUCCUUCCCAUGCUCUGAAACGGGACCCCCGGUCUGUCACCAGCCCACCCUCUGUCCUGAUGAACCUGGGCCGCAACUUGAGGGCCCAGGCCUCGAGCCUUUUCUGGGACAGGCGGAAGGAACCCCGACCCUCGUUCUGUAGCUGGUGCAAAAGCUGUGGCUGCUGGGCCUGGAUCACGUGGUGGCCCAGGGGGCAUAAGAAGCCCAGGGGGAGGCCCACCAGCUACCAGACCCAGCUCUGAGCUGGGGCCAGGGCUCCGGCCCGGGUGUAGGAAGUUGUUCUGGGUACCCCUGCUAACCACACGCCCCUCACCCCUUGACCCCCAAAUUAAAGGUGGCUCCUUAGUACUUGUUGAUUUUUAGGAACAGGUUCAUCUCCCUCAAUUCUUGGCCCUUUCUCCUCAGUCCCUAAUUACUGUUUCUAAUCAGAUGUGUCUCUGCGUAGGUGAGGAGACCCUCUGCCUGGCCGAGGGUCUUCUUUCCCCACCUCCUUGCCUGUGGCCCACGAGUGUCCAGGCUCCCUCCCAAGGCCCUGUCAUUCCCCUCAGGUCCUCCCCUCAGUGUCCCUUGUUUCCUCCUUCUAGAUGUUUGGCCCUUUCCCACCCUUUGCUUAUAAACAGCUGGAGUCGGGGGCUCCGGACCCCCAUCGAUACUUGCCCUGCUAUCCACAGCGCUUCUCACGCUCCUGUUGCUUGUCAGCCUGUGUAUGUGCCGGUGCAGAAAAUAAAGGACCUGUGCACGACC
Non-coding RNA from Vicugna pacos (alpaca), 973 nucleotides. The record is from RefSeq and is a predicted model, not a curated record. NCBI's taxonomy places the organism in Eukaryota, Metazoa, Chordata, Mammalia, Artiodactyla, Camelidae.